GAAAUAAAACAUAAGAAAUCAGUGCAAAAUAUUUUUUUUUUAUUUUGUACUUCAUGUUACACAUUUGAACUUAGAAAUAAGAUCACAAGAUAUUUCGUGUAGAAUCAAGAGGAACUUUAAAGUGAUAAAAAAAUAAAAGAACUCUUACACGAAGAUUCUGAUUCGAAUUCAGUGAUUGUAGGUAGUGAAUUGUGAAGUAGCAGGCCAGAAGAAGAACGUUGUAGUGAUCAUGAAGUUAUAAGUAAUUGUGAAGAUCCGGUAACACUUGAUUUGUUAAACGCUAAUCAGGACGUGGAUUUUAAUACGGAAGCGUCUUCCUUAGAAAGUGAAAAUGAAAAUGUUGCAAGACCUAGUCAUUCCAACAGGGGGAAUAUAAAAUAUGGAGGAAAAUAAAUGCAAGUGAAGAAGUGGUUUAUUUCAUAUUGAUUUUUGUGAAAUUUUGAUUAGAGAUUAUAAAACUUUAUUUGUUAUUUAUUUUACAUAUUAUAUAUUAAGGAAAAUAAUGUUAUUUUUUAUUUUAACUUUUUAAACUAUAAUUUUCAUUGAUAUAUGUAACGUAGAAAAAAAUAUUACCAAAAUGUUGAUACUAUUUUGUGAUUUCUUCUAGUAAUGAAGUAAGAAGAUUUAUACCAAUAAAAACUAUAUGAUUACAUAAAACAAGCAUAAUAUUUAUUAUUUCUUACCAUUUAUUCAAGUACAUAGUUAAAACUUACUUGCUAGAAGCAAACAUACUAUGGGGGCCGCACGGCCCACACUAUACCAGUUACGUAUGUCUACUUUGCGAUACCAGUUAAGGGUUAAGUCGGCGAGAGAAUGAGAUAGAAUACAUUACAGUGUUUUAUAUUCGCAGUGAAAAAAAUCUCUCGUUGGUUACUUUUCAGAAGUUUGACUUCUGCCGUGUGUGAAUUGCACACACACUUUUUAAAAUUUAUUGAUUCAGCCUGUAACGUCCCACCGCUGAGCAUAGGCCCUUUUCCCAUGUACAAGAAGGCAGGUAGUUGUUUUAAAUCACUUAAAAAAUAUAACUAAUACAAAUGUUCAAGACAUUCAAUUAUUAUUAUUUUUUUAUUAAGACUCUCGUUUAUUAUCAUUUAUAUUUAGUUACUAG
This 1108-nucleotide unclassified non-coding RNA is filed under the name Melitaea cinxia (Glanville fritillary). Its description in RNAcentral is "misc RNA ENSMCXG00005003329.1". The record is from RNAcentral. Lineage: Eukaryota; Metazoa; Arthropoda; Insecta; Lepidoptera; Nymphalidae.